GGUGAUGUGGCUCAAUGGAAGAGUGUUUGCCUUGUAUACACAAAGCCUUGGGUUCAAUUCCCAGCACCA
Molecule: transfer RNA, 69 nt
Filed under: Cavia porcellus (domestic guinea pig)
Lineage: Eukaryota; Metazoa; Chordata; Mammalia; Rodentia; Caviidae
Rfam family: tRNA
About the family: Transfer RNA (tRNA) molecules are approximately 80 nucleotides in length. Their secondary structure includes four short double-helical elements and three loops (D, anti-codon, and T loops).
Source: Rfam by way of RNAcentral